Non-coding RNA from Phrynosoma platyrhinos (Desert horned lizard), 72 nucleotides. The record is from the annotation of a GenBank genome assembly. Lineage: Eukaryota; Metazoa; Chordata; Lepidosauria; Squamata; Phrynosomatidae.
GUCAUUGUGGCAUAGUGGCUUGAGUGUUAGACUACAACUCUGGAGACCAGGGUCCGACUCCCAGCUCGCAUA